RNAcentral lists this telomerase RNA (386 nucleotides) under Saccharomyces kudriavzevii IFO 1802. RNAcentral describes it as "Saccharomyces telomerase". It matches the Rfam family "Saccharomyces telomerase", at positions 1 to 386 of the family's 1208-position model. Lineage: Eukaryota; Fungi; Ascomycota; Saccharomycetes; Saccharomycetales; Saccharomycetaceae. The record is from Rfam by way of RNAcentral.
AUGAGGAGGUCGGUUACCUAUUAAGAUGUCCAUGGUCGUCACGUUUAGUUACUAGUAUUUUUUCUCUUUUGUUUCUGUUUUUUGUGCAUUUUCCAUUUGAGUUUUCUAUUGUUGAGCCUCAGAUAUUUGGUAGACGCUUAAUGGUGGAAUGAUUGGACCGGAUUUAGGGUUGUGUUCUCAGAUUGGCGGGCAGUUACACUGGUUGUUGUUUUUUAACGAAGGGCUAUGAGUGCGCUGGUGUCAGUGUAGAUACAUAUGUAUGCGCACAUGUGGUUUUUGUUGUUCUUCUACUUAUAGAUCGCUAAAAUCUGAGUUUGAGAAAUGCGGGACCAUCCAUGUCCGAAUAUAACUGACGCAUUUUGUAGCUAGAACACGUUUUUCCUACA